CAAUGUUCGCUGGAGCCCUGCCUCAGCAGAGGGGAGCGGACCCCAUGAGCCUUCCCAUCCUGGAAAUUCAGCUUUCUCUUCGUGCUGGAAGUCCUUUGAUACGGAUUUGGUAGACGAUCAAAAAAGGAACCAGAGACCAUCUCAUCUCUACCCUUCACUUCAUACAUGAAGAAACUGAAGCCAAGUAUUGAAGGAAAGAAGACGGAGAGGAUCUUACAAAACAAAAUACCAACUGAGAAGUUCCACAUAAUUCUAAAACACAUGGGCACGUUGUAAAGAGAAGAAGUAGACAUACAUCAAGUCAGUGUGACAGCGACUCUACACAACGAAAAAAAUGCAAAAUAUUUUUACAGCAUUUCACAGUUUUCAAGUGUGUCUCCAAACAUUCUUGGGUUUCAUUUGGAAGGGGUUUAAGUGUUUAAUUUUUAAUCAAAGUAAUGCCGACACAAAGUUUCCAAAGUCAUAUGGCGCUACCAAGCGUAUAACGAUAGGUGGCCAUCACCGGCCACCUCUCUCACACAUCCCAUUCCCCAAAAGCAAACACUUGAAAUUAUUUCUCUCAGUGCUUUUGUUGGAAGCUCCCUUGUGGCCCAGUGGGUUAAGGAUCCAGUGUUGCUGCAGCUGCAGUGCAGGUCACAACUGCCUCGAGGGUUGGAUCCUUAGCCUCGAAGGGGAGAUGCCAUGGGUGUAGCCAAAAAUAAAAUUUUUCUUCUUUAA
Molecule: long non-coding RNA, 717 nt
Organism: Phacochoerus africanus (Common warthog)
Lineage: Eukaryota; Metazoa; Chordata; Mammalia; Artiodactyla; Suidae
Exons: 2
Source: RefSeq, a predicted model, not a curated record